GCUGGGAUAGCCUAGCCAGGAAAGGCGGUGGCCUCGAGAGCCACUGGGCGAAAGCCCACGCAGGUUCAAAUCCUGCUCCCAGCG
Molecule: transfer RNA, 84 nt
Filed under: Thermoplasmatales archaeon
Lineage: Archaea; Methanobacteriati; Thermoplasmatota; Thermoplasmata; Thermoplasmatales
Description: tRNA-Ser
Rfam family: tRNA
About the family: Transfer RNA (tRNA) molecules are approximately 80 nucleotides in length. Their secondary structure includes four short double-helical elements and three loops (D, anti-codon, and T loops).
Source: RNAcentral